GCACCGCUGACGAGUUGCAUACUAAGACGAAACGGCCGUCCAGUGC
Schistosoma rodhaini is the source of this 46-nucleotide non-coding RNA. Lineage: Eukaryota; Metazoa; Platyhelminthes; Trematoda; Strigeidida; Schistosomatidae. The record is from Rfam.